AUGAGGCUUCCCCCAAGUGAGUGGCAUUGGUUUGUUGCAUUGGAAAUCCAAUUAACAAUGGGGAGCUUGUUGCAACUAUUGAAUGAAUGGGAGAUCCAACUGCUUGUGCUUCUCAGCUUCAUGCUACAAAUAUUCCUCUUUUUUACUGGUAGCCUUCGACAACGCGGCGCUAAGUUUCUUAGUGGCAUCAUUUGGAUAGCUUAUUUAGUGGCAGACAUGGUAGCAGUUUACACCCUUGGUUUACUCUCAAAACAAGCGGAAAACACCACCCAGCUGACAGCAAACCACCCACUAGCUUUCUUUUGGGCACCCUUCCUGCUGCUUCAUCUUGGUGGACAGGACACCAUCACUGCUUUUUCCUUGGAGGACAACAGUUUGUGGUUGAGGCAUUUGUUAAAUUUGAUAGUCCAAGUGGUCCUAGCCUUGUAUGUCUUCUGGAAGUCUACUGCUUGGCGAAAUGUGCAGAUUCUUGUUCCGGGCAUCUUUAUGUUUGUUGCUGGCAUCAUUAAGUACGGGGAGAGAACGAUGGCUCUCAUGUACAGUAACCUACAAAACAUCAGUGGCUACAAUAGUAAUGAAGAAGAAAAUAGGUUGACUCAUCCAGAACUGGAGGAGGAUGCUAGGUACUCUAGCAUUAUUAGUUUUUCCUUGGAUUCAACUCCGAUAGUUCGACACUUAUUUGCUGGAUUUACACUCUUCCAGAUACCAGAAGGCUUCCAUGCAACAACUUGGACAAGCUAUGCUCGAUCACAUCAAGUCCAACAGGCCAAGUUGGCCAAGUUGGUUGAUGUAGGAAUCAUGUAUUGUGAUGUCUAUACAAAGGCUGCAGUGCUUCGGACAAGGAGCGGCAUCGUACUUCGGUGCACCUCUCAAGUAUCAGCUUUCCUUGCCCUUGUGCUCUUCUUCACAGUUGGCAACAAACAGAGGUACAAUAGAGUCGACAUUGCAAUCACGUACAUGUUAUUUAUGGGAUACUUUUUUCUGGAAGUUUGUGCAAUGUUUAUGAUGGUCAUUGUAUCACCUUGGACGUGGGCUUGGCUUAUGGCUAAGAAGUGGGUUCGGCUCACUCGCAUAUCCUGGACGCUUUUCUCCAGUAAUACUAUUGGGUGGCCAGAGGAGAAGAUGUUGUGGUCAAACAACAUGGGGCAGUACAAUUUUCUGAUCUAUGUGGGCUGCGAGGAAAAGCCAAGUACUCCGUCCACGUCGGAACGAGUGAUGAGCAGGAUCAGGAAGAUGACAAAAGCAGUUGGUGCUGGAGAGGACAAGUUGUUUUGGUUAAGCAAGACAUUAGAUACGAAGUACGAGGAGGUGGAUGCGGAUAUCACAGAUAGCUUUCUGAGGGAGAUUGAAGUCAUUCUCCAAUCCCCUUUCGGAGGAGGACCGAGUAGGCUGUGGCAACAUCUCAGUGUGAAUAACAUGGCAAGGGAAUUUUCUAGAGAUUUUACUGCAGUCAUAAUCAAUUUGCAUAUAUCAACAAUAAUACACCUCAGUGAAGUUUCAAGUGUGGAUGUGGAAAUAGUUGCCUUGGUUGGUGUCUGCCGGAAACUAUCCAAUUAUAUGAUGUACCUCCUUGCUACACACCCUGUUAUGUUGCAGGUCACUGCAACCAGUGCCAAAUCAGUACUACAAGGCUUUCGUAAGAAGUUUAUGAUGAUGAUGACUGGCAGCAUCAGCAAGCCCGUGGUUCUACAAAAUCUCAAAGAGUUGAUAUCGAAGGAGGAUUCCAAGUUGUCUUUGCCUGAACCAUGCAAAGAAACACUGGAGGAGAUGAGAGAUAUGUGGGUGAGGAUCAUCAUGUAUGCCGCUGGCAGGUCGCGGCCAGAGACGCAUGCCAAACAGCUGGCCAGAGGACGGGAAUUCCUUACCUUCAUCUGGCUGCUCAUGGCACACAAAAAUCUUGGGUCUUCCACGUCCUUUCCAAUCGAACUUAUUAGCCCACCUCCUAAUUUUGGGCCUUACAGUGGUGUACGAAGUUACGCCUUUGAUUUUCGCCAAAAUUGA
RNAcentral lists this ribosomal RNA (2001 nucleotides) under Triticum aestivum (bread wheat). RNAcentral describes it as "partial small subunit ribosomal RNA". The record is from RNAcentral. Lineage: Eukaryota; Viridiplantae; Streptophyta; Magnoliopsida; Poales; Poaceae.